UUCCCCGUUCGAUGUUCUAAAGAAUAUUGUAGUGGUAACGGUUCGCCAAAACCGUUGAUUGUCUAGUACCACAUCAAUCUACCACACAAUUUUCAUUUAGAACUGACAACGGGUUUUUUG
RNAcentral lists this small RNA (120 nucleotides) under Vibrio aerogenes. RNAcentral's name for it is "MtlS RNA". It matches the Rfam family "MtlS RNA". Lineage: Bacteria; Pseudomonadati; Pseudomonadota; Gammaproteobacteria; Vibrionales; Vibrionaceae. The record is from RNAcentral. RNAcentral also lists the same sequence under 1 other name.